Molecule: unclassified non-coding RNA, 355 nt
Filed under: soil metagenome
Description: partial contains 5.8S ribosomal RNA, internal transcribed spacer 2, and large subunit ribosomal RNA
Rfam family: 5.8S ribosomal RNA (bases 1-120)
Source: RNAcentral
GAUGAAGAACGCAGCGAAAUGCGAUAAGUAAUGUGAAUUGCAGAAUUCAGUGAAUCAUCGAAUCUUUGAACGCACAUUGCGCCCAUUAGUAUUCUAGUGGGCACGCCUGUUCGAGCGUCAUUAAGUCCACUUAAGCCCUGCUUAGUGUUGGGAGACUGCUCCAGCGGUGCUACCCUGUAGCUACCCUGCAGCUCCUCAAAGACAGCGGCGGAGUUGUGGUAUCCUCUGAGCUUAGUAACUUGUUCUAGCUUUCGAGUACACCACUUCCCCUGCCGUAAAACCCUUAAUUUUUAAUGGUUGACCUCGGAUCAGGUAGGAAUACCCGCUGAACUUAAGCAUAUCAAUAAGCGGAGGA